AUUGAACGCUGGCGGCAUGCCUAACACAUGCAAGUCGAACGGCAGCACGGGAGCUUGCUCCUGGUGGCGAGUGGCGGACGGGUGAGUAAUGCAUAGGAAUCUGCCCAGUAGCGGGGGACAACUUGGGGAAACUCAAGCUAAUACCGCAUGCGCCCUACGGGGGAAAGCGGGGGACCUUCGGGCCUCGCACUAUUGGAUGAGCCUAUGUCAGAUUAGCUUGUUGGUGGGGUAACGGCCUACCAAGGCGACGAUCUGUAGCUGGUCUGAGAGGACGAUCAGCCACACUGGGACUGAGACACGGCCCAGACUCCUACGGGAGGCAGCAGUGGGGAAUAUUGCACAAUGGGCGAAAGCCUGAUGCAGCAAUGCCGCGUGUGUGAAGAAGGCCUGCGGGUUGUAAAGCACUUUCAGUAGGGAGGAAACAGUAGCCGGUUAAUAUCCGGUUGCCUUGACGUUACCUACAGAAGAAGCACCGGCUAACUACGUG
RNAcentral lists this ribosomal RNA (487 nucleotides) under uncultured bacterium. RNAcentral describes it as "bacterial SSU rRNA". It matches the Rfam family "Bacterial small subunit ribosomal RNA", at positions 30 to 507 of the family's 1533-position model. The record is from RNAcentral.